GGUGGGGGAGGUGGAGGCCAUCAGAAGAUGGAGGAUGUGGGGAGAUGGAGGACAUUGGGGGGAGAUGGAGGUCAUUGGGAUAUGGAGGAUGUAAGGAGAUGGAUAUCAGGAGAUGGAGGACAUCAGGAGAUGGAGAAUGUGGAGAGAUGGAGGACAUCAGGAGAUAGAGGACAUUGGAGGGAGAUGGAGGAUAUCAGGAUAUCAGGAGAUGGAGGACCUGGGGAGAUGGAGGUCAUCAGGAGGUGGAGGACGUGAGGAGAUGGAGGGCAUUGGGGGGAGAUGGAGGUCAUUAGGGAAUGAAAGAUAUCAGGAGAUGGAGGUCACUGGGAAUGGAGGACGUAAGGAGAUGGAGGACAUCAGGAGAUGGAGGAUGCUGGAGGGAGAUGGAGGAUAUCAAGAGAUGGAGGACGUGGGGAGAUGGAGGUCGUUGGAACAUGGAGGAUAUCAGGAGCUGGAGGUCAUUGGGAAAUGGAGGACGUAAGGAGAUGGAGGACAUAAGGAGGUGGAGGAUAGGAGAUGGAGGACAUGGGGAGAUGGAGGUCAUUGGGGGGAGAUGGAGGACAUUGGGGGAUGAAGGAUAUCAGGGGAUGGAGAUCAUUGGGAAAUGGAGGACGUAAGUAGAUGGAGGACAUAAGGAGGUGGAGGACGUGGGGAGAUGGAGGUCGUUGGAACAUGGAGGAUAUCAGGAGCUGGAGGUCAUUGGGAAAUGGAGGACAUCAGGAGGUGGAGGACAUUGGAGGGAGAUGGAGGAUAUCAAGAGAUGGAGGACAUGGGGAGAUGGAGGUCAUUGUGGGGAGAUGGAGGUCAUUGGGGGAUGAAGGAUAUCAGGAGAUGGAGGUCACUGGGAAAUGGAGGACUUAAGGAGAUGGAGGAUAUCAGGAGAUGGAGGAUGCUGGAGGGAGAUGGAGGAUAUCAAGAGAUGGAGGACGUGGGGAGAUGAAGGACAUUGGGACGUGGAGGAUAUCAGGAGCUGGAGGUCACUGGGAAAUGGAGGACGUAAAGAGAUGGAGGACAUCAGGAGGUGGAGGACAUUAAGACAUGGAGGACAUGAGGAGCCAGAGGACAACCGGGGAAAGGCAGAGGAGGCCCGGGCGCCGUGG
Molecule: long non-coding RNA, 1100 nt
Filed under: Anas platyrhynchos platyrhynchos (common mallard)
Lineage: Eukaryota; Metazoa; Chordata; Aves; Anseriformes; Anatidae
Description: lncRNA (ENSAPLG00000029233.1)
Source: RNAcentral